Molecule: ribosomal RNA, 459 nt
Filed under: uncultured bacterium
Lineage: Bacteria
Description: partial 16S ribosomal RNA
Rfam family: Bacterial small subunit ribosomal RNA
Source: RNAcentral
CCUACGGGUGGCAGCAGUGAGGAAUAUUGGUCAAUGGCCGGAAGUCUGAACCAGCCAAGCCGCGUGAAGGACGAAGGUGCCAAGCAUUGUAAACUUCUUUUGUAAAGGAACAAAAUCAGGCUCGAGAGCCUGACCGAAGGUACUUUAAGAAAAAGCAUCGGCUAACUCCGUGCCAGCAGCCGCGGUAAUACGGAGGAUGCGAGCGUUAUCCGGAUUUAUUGGGUUUAAAGGGUGCGUAGGGGGACUGUUAAGUCAGCGGUAAAAGCCGGGGGCUCAACCCCGGCGAGCCGUUGAUACUGGCUGUCUUGAGAUGUCGUGAGGUAUGCGGAAUGCGUAGUGUAGCGGUGAAAUGCUUAGAUAUUGCGAAGAACUCCGAUUGCGAAGGCAGCAUACCGGCGGCGAUCUGACGCUGAGGCACGAAAGUGUGGGUAUCGAACAGGAUUAGAUACCCGAGUAGUC